Molecule: long non-coding RNA, 3844 nt
Filed under: Homo sapiens (human)
Lineage: Eukaryota; Metazoa; Chordata; Mammalia; Primates; Hominidae
Description: HSALNT0353037
Source: RNAcentral
CUGGAUAAACAAGAAAUUCUGAACACUUUGAGUCUGGAAAUUUUCAGAACACCUAGACAGCAUCAGUCAUAACUCCAUACCUGUGUGAGACUGGAAGACUGGAUAGGGCUGAAGUUGGAGAAAUGCCUUUUCCCAGGGUUGUCAGACUGUCAUUUGUUCUGAUGAAGACCCCGCACUCCUUGAGUGGUCAGCCAGUUUUAUCCCAGGGCAGCCACACUUCAGAGGCCUCUGCAUCAUAAGCUUCAUCUAUCUUCAUAUUCAGCAAAACACCAGAUAAGUGGCUAAUUAGCAUAAUUAACAUCAGAAAUGGGUUUUCAUUGGUGAAUUUAGUGGCUUGUUAAUCAGCAUAAUGAAUGUUAGAAAUGGGUUCUGAAUUGUGAAAUUAGAAGAAAUCAAGAUAGUGAAUUGGUUAAAGUAUUAUAGAAACAUACUUAACACUUGCAUAAAAUGGGAAAUUAGAAUCUAUGAGAUCUGUUGGGAUGGCCCCGAAGGUUACAUCAUUAAAUGGACUUGAGUCCAGUCUUUGGGUGAGAGAAUUUCAUAGUGACUGAUGCAAAUUUGUAAAGGUAACAAAAUCUGCCUCUGAAAUAUUGCUAUGUUUGUCUCCUGUAAAUCAUUCAUGUAACAAAUAUGUAUAGUUUGUUCAUCUAAAAGCACAGUGAUCUGGGUCUUUAUCAAACUUAAACAAUAUUGUAUUCACUCUUUCGGGUUUGCCUGUGCAUUCAUGUUUAUGUAUGUCUGUAUGAACAUAGAUUUUGGUCUGAAACUUGCUUUUAUUACAACUGGUAACAAAGCUUGCUUACAAUGAGCAACAAAUACUCACACACAUCAAAAUGUUCAGCUUUUUCUAUAAAAGAACUUCUGAGUUGUAUGAAAUCAAAUUGGUUUACAUCAGUUCAGAACGGUUUGCAAUAAUGUGCUACAGAGAAGUAAACAUCUUCUGUUCCAGCAUUACAGGAUUCUGUAGUGUGUUGAAGACCUGCUGUUUGGUAAGAUGAUCCACACUCCUUGAGACAAUUCAGCCCUGAUGGCCUGACAGUAUUGUUGUAACUUUUCAAUAACUGUAAUGUUAUUACUUCUGUUUUAGAGAGGAAUAAAUCUGAGGUCAAAGAGGUUAAGUAGCUUGCCCAAUUCUAAUACAUGGGAAGGAAUACAGAAAGUAGUUAAUUCCAAAUGUCACUUUUUAACAUCAUGUUCUUUUCUCUAAGUCAUGGUUCUAUAUCUUGGGACAUAGAAAAUAGAAAACAAGUUCCAAUGAACAACACAGCCAAAAGAGAAGUUUUUGAGGGAAAGCACACAUAAAUUUCUUAACCUCAAGUGCCAAAGAAUGUCUCCUAUUUCUUAGGGAUCACAGUAAAAUCCUCUUGGUAUAAAUUCUAGUUGUUGCUUGAUGCUAAGUUCAAUGUUUACUAAGCACCAGAUUUCAUUCCAUAGAGUGGGUUCAGUAAUUCUUAGCUAAUUUUUUUGUUGCUAUUAUAAAAUCUUAAGUUGAAAAAACCUUUCAGGUACUGUUACGAAAAGACAUGUGAACAGGAUGGAGGCGCCUGAAAAUUUUACCCAAGAUUAUGUUUCUCGGAAUUGCUAAGAAGUACUUCUUAGCAAAUACUAAUUUAACAAGUCUUCUAAUAGGAAGUAUUGCACUACACAAUCAAGUUGUUUUUAACUAGGAAUCAUUUCAUUUUGAAAUAAAUCACAGGUUUACAUAUAAACACACACACACACACACACACACACACACACACAGCCCACAUAUGUAUGUCAGCUUAACCAUAUGCAGCUCUGAUAGCUCUGAUUAAAUAUAUGCUUCCAACCCUAUAAACAGCAAGAUCCACAGUCGCUUCCAUGAAAUAGUUAUUUCACCGAGACUGGAUAAAUGGUAAAGCUUUUUCCUCUCUUCCAGCUGUAACCAUUCCCUUUCUUUCUGGGAUCCUCUGUCCUCCUUCCUUGGAAAAGCACCUUCCAUAACAUACUGAGAGUAAAGAGUACAGUGCUCUUGUGAAGGCAGAAUAAAAACUUGGAGGUACUUACUGAGAAUACUAGAGCUGGGUCUGAGAGCUCCAUGAAUGUCGAUGACAGAGCAGGCCACUUCAAAUAGAUAAAACUGCAUUAGUGCUUUUAAAUUUGUCCUUGGGAAUACGCUCAUCUGAAACAAUGAUUGCAGAUACAAAUCAGAUGAAUGCUGCUUUCGGAACUAAAUGAAUGCUCUAAGAGAACAGCUCUGAGAAGAAUACAUUGAAGAGUCUGGAAAGUAAUUUCAUGGAAAAUAGAUUGGGUGCCCAGUUUAUUUGAAGAAAGAUGGGAGUAGAAAAAGCAAAAAGAAGAAAAUGAUUUUAAAGUUUAUUUGGACAUGCCACAAAUUAUGCCUAUAUAUGUUUUAUGCAUGAGUUAAAUAUCUGACAGAUAAUUAUUGAUCACAGAAAUUCUAUAUAAAGGAUGUACUCCCAAAUUGAAUAUCUCUACACAGUAAGCUUAUGUAAUUCAAAUCUUUUUCUCAUAUCAUAUGUUGUUUGUACAUAUAAAGGCUUGCAUUAUUCUGAAAGGGGCACAUUAAAAAUACAAACUCAGCCAAAUGACUGAGAAGAAUUUAGGAUGUACACACUAACGUUAAAAACCAGUGCAAAAAAUUAACUAUCCUCUGAAUGGGUUAUGUUUUCCCAUAUAGUUAGGCCCUGCUGGAUAGUUAUUUAGAUGCCUUGAGAACUAUCUUCAUGUCACCCUCAAGACUCAGGCCCUGGGGCUGCAAAGAGCUAUUUCAUCCCAGGAUGAUCAGAAAUGGGAAAUAUGAAUCAAGGAUGAUUUCUGGCAGAAUUGGGUCUGACUCAUGAAUGGCAAUGCCUUUUUUCUUCCUUUAACUUAUCUUUAAAGGAUAUCCUUUGAAGGAGAUAACUUUCAGGAAAAUGAGAUACUCGUCUAUGAAAAAGUCAAAUUAUUCCAGGUAACAGAGCUCAGAGCAGUCUUCCACAAGGCUUGACACUUCAAAACAAACAAUAAGAAAUCCACUUAAAAUUCCUUAACUUUCCUCUUUCACAGAAUGAUAUUUUACCUCAAGGGUAUUUAUGUAGCUACAGAAAACAAGGGUAGAGGCCCCAGGCUUCUUUCACAAGGUGUUGAUUGAUACUAUAACUUUCCUGGAGCCCAAGAGGAGAGGACUUAAAAUGCACCCAUGGGUUCUUGUCUUGGUAUCGUCAGAAGAAGGAGCAUCUCACUGGUGACAGGGUUCCUUUGGGCAACUUUUUACUGCUCAGAGGUAGAAACAGUUUAUCAAGCUACUGUUUCUUGGGGUGACUUGUUCAAAGUUUCCUUUCACGUAAUGGGAUGCAACAUGAGAUGAGAAGUGACAGCUGGAAGCUGAAUCUUGCAUACAGGAUAGGUGCUCACAUAUCUUAGUGUGAUCAUACAAAACUUUUUGAGGAGUGAGAUUGUUUUUGAGGCCUACUGAUUCAGCAAAGUGCGCUUACUCAAUAUUUUAGGUAGUUAUUAAGGAAGCAGUCCUGAAAGCACUAUAAAGCAAUGCAUAUAAUUAAAAUGUCUUUGACUCAAGACAUGGAACCAACCCAAAUGCCCGUGAAUGAUAGACUGGAUAAAGAAAAUGUGGUACCUACACACCAUGGAAUACUAUGCAGCCAUAAAAAGCAAUGAGAUUAUGUAUUUUGCGGAGACAUAGGUGAAGCCGGAAGCCAUCAUCCUCAGCAAACUAACAGAGGAACAGAAAACCAAACACCUCAUGUUCUCACUCGUAAGUGGGAGUUGAACAAUGAGAACACAUGGACCCAGGGAGGGGAACAACACAUGCCAGGGCCUGUUGGGAUGUGCGGGGCCAGGGGGGUGAACUUAGAUGAUGGGU